This 1113-nucleotide long non-coding RNA is filed under the name Marmota monax (woodchuck). The record is from RNAcentral. Lineage: Eukaryota; Metazoa; Chordata; Mammalia; Rodentia; Sciuridae.
GGUANCCUUCAAGGUAAGGCUGGAGUGAGCUCCUCUCAGACACUCUUGGGGACAGACUGCUGGGUUACUUGUGGGCUGGGGUGUGGCUUAAUGGUCUUAGUGCUUGCCUGGUAUGCACAAGGCCUUGGGGCAAAAAACCAGCAUGGCAAAAAACCCAAAAGAAACAAAAAAUUCCCCCAGGGUGUUUUAUUUGUUAGCGUUGUGGUGGGCACAGGCUCCAUAUUCCUUGUUGGAGAUUUCUGUCAUUUUCUUUGGUGCCUCCUGCCCUCUGCCCUUUUCCUCAUGCUCCCUUACCCAGGCCACCAGAGCAUUCAACAGAUUAUGGUAGAGCCAGAAGAUAUACUCUUGUUUUUUUUCCAUAAUGAUGCUAUAUUAUCUGACCAUUGGAUUAUGUUAUGAUUUGUUGAACCCCUUCCCUAUCGUUAGACAGUGAGGAAGUUUCUAGUAUUGAGUUAGGCUGCAGUAAUGUGCUGCUGUACGAGUUUUGUUCACCCUCCUGGCCUGGUGCUUCCUUCUGAUGGCUCCUGGGAGGAGUGUAGGGCUCCUGGCCUUUCCAAAGAGUGGCCUGUGUGCACGAACCCGCUCACCCAUGCUCACCAGCACCCACUGUUAAUGUUUUAAUGAUAUAUGAUGAUGCUUCUUUGUGCAUUACCUUGAAUACUAGUGAGGAUAAUCAGCACUCAGGUUUUUUUUUUUUUUAAAUGUAUUUUUUAGUUGUUGGACAUAGUACCUUUAUUUUAUUUUAAUGUGCUGCUGAGGAUUGAACCCAGUUCCUCACACAUGCUAGGUGAGUACUCUACCACUGAGCCCUAGCCCCAGCCCCAGCACUCAGGUUUUUAUAAUCUAGCUUUGGGGGCAAAAAAAAGAAAAAACAAGUAGGGCAAAUGUUCUGUUGACGCUGGGCGUGGUGGUGCAGGCUAUGAUCCCAGCUACUGGGGAAGCUGAGAAAGGCGGAGCACAAGUUCUAGGCCAGCCUAGGCAACUUGUUAAGACCUGGUCUCAAGAUGAAAUGAAAAGGGGGCUGGGGUACCCCUCCGUGGUAGGGCGCUUGCCUAGCACAUGCCAGGCCCUGUGUUCCAUCCCUAGCACCACAUGCACAUGUGUACAUGCAAG